Molecule: non-coding RNA, 85 nt
Organism: Characodon lateralis
Lineage: Eukaryota; Metazoa; Chordata; Actinopteri; Cyprinodontiformes; Goodeidae
Source: the annotation of a GenBank genome assembly
AGCCCCACCAAACACGGUGGCGCAGUUGGUAGCACUGUUUCCUUGCAGCAAGGAGGUUCUGGGUUCAAUUCCCGGACUGGGGUCU